This is a long non-coding RNA of Ctenopharyngodon idella (grass carp), 2891 nucleotides long. RefSeq lists it as uncharacterized. The record is from RefSeq and is a predicted model, not a curated record. NCBI's taxonomy places the organism in Eukaryota, Metazoa, Chordata, Actinopteri, Cypriniformes, Xenocyprididae. The transcript has 2 exons.
AUUAAAAUAAAUACAUUUGAUUUGAAUAUAUAAAAUAAAUAACUGAUAAAACUAAAUAACAAACUAAAACUAGAUUUAAAUAAAAAAAUAAAAAAGCAGUGUAGAAGUUUAAAAACAUAAAUAGUAAUUUAGUAACUUAAAAAAUAAAAUACAUCUCACUUACAUUUAAUCAGUUAUUGUUGUGGUAAUACUGCUUUAAUAGUUUGAGUGGUGGUCACUGAGUCUGUCUGGAAUGGUAGGCUAUUUUUAUGAAUAUUAUAUUAGUCAGUCCACAAUCAAAACACCUGUCUGACAAAAUGAAAACAGCAAUUUAAAUCAAAGAGAACACAAUGUGUCCAUCAUGAGGAUUCAUGAACAGUGUAAUUCAAUUAAUAGCAGUUCAUGUGUGUAUGAAUGAAAACGAUGUGGCAGCGGUGGGAUUCGAACCCACGCCCCCGAAGAGACUGGAGCCUUAAUCCAGCGCCUUAGACCGCUCGGCCACGCUACCGCUGAGACAGCCCAUGAUCCUGACCCCUUUCGGCUAGUUGAAUUAUUACACUCCACGGCCAUCGCAGAAUUAAGGAAGCUUGAUUCAUAAAACCUAAAAAGGCCAUCCAGUCUCAGCCUCAGGUGUCACGCCCACGGACCGCUGGCUGAACGUCUGAUGCAUAUGGCACACUUAACUGGAAACACUUCAGGAUUUUCGAAGUCGUCAUCUGGUUGGUUGAAUUCUACAGGAUGUCCGGGAGACGCGUGUCCCGUUCUUUAACGGUCCGCCUGGAAACAAAUGUUGUGUCACAAAACCCCCUCGUGGAAGAAGAAAGCUGUCAUGUUUACAACUGUGACGAGCGCUUACCAGGACCAACUAAACGCUGAAUUUUCAAAAGUAUGUGAAGUUCGUGGCUCCAUUGUUGAGGUAAACUUGCACAACAUUCUUGAAUGAAUAAUUUAUUAGAUGCACACUGGUCUGUUAUCGGAGGGACAUCGACGCAAUAAUCGACGCAACACGCUGUUUUUGUGUGUGUCCCUUUAAAUGCAAAUGAGCUGCUGCUCCCGCCCCCUUUCCAGAAGAGGGCGGAGCUUUAACAGCUCGCGCUUCGGUCGCUCAACAACAACAAAGCUGGAGAAUCUCACGCAGCCAAAAUGAGGAUUGUCAGUAACGGUGUUCAGCCUUACAUUGUUCAAACCGGAGUCGACACUGAUGGAGAGACUCAGGAAGAAGUUACAACUUUUAGACAUUUCUGAAUGGUUAGUGGAUAAAUUUAUGUAGUUGCUGUGGAGUUGAUUCAACUCAUCUAGUAUGUGCCGUCAUGUUAAUCUUUUCAAUAUCUUCAAAAUUCAUCAAAAUAUCUUCAUUUGUGUUCUGAAUAUAAAGGAAGGUCUUAUGGGUGUGGAACGACAUGAGUAGGGUGAGUAAUUAAUGACAGAAAUUUCAUUAUUGGUUGAAUGAACCGUAGCUGUACGGCUGUAUGCACUCUGCGUACCAUGAGAGGGCGCUAAUUAAUGCCGUUUUUAUAUAUUUUUUUCACAUCUUUUUCAAAGCUGCAGUCCGUAGUUUUGCCUCUUUGUCGGCAUCUCUGUUUGAAACCUGCAGUUGCAGUUAUAUGCGGAAUUAUUAUCGUUACGUGCGUUGUGCCUCGGCAAGGCUCCUCAGCAUGGACGAAUCUAAUGUUUGCUGUCAAUCACCGCACCGGAAUCACAGACUGUAGUCUUGAAGUAUGACCAAAGUAAGAAUUUUCACCAGAAAAUGUCAUCUGAACAAAUAAGUAACAUGUCUGCCACUUUUGUUCUGACCAACUGAGGGAAAAGCAUUAGCCUACAAUAAAUCACGCUGCCAAUGGUGAUUAAAUCUAAAGAUCUCUUAGCUCAGAUCACAUCAAACCAUGCAAAUUAUUAUUAUUAUUGUUAAUGUUAACAACAUCAGCAUUGUGUGACUGUGUAUUCAGUGUGUAUUAGCGUUACCCGUAGAUUUCAGUUUUUGUAGUGACUCCACAGUCCGAAGUCUUUUGCUUUUGACUACGGCUGAAUCUCCAGUUGUCACUGAUGAUUGUCAUUUGGACCUUUCUGGAUUACAAUCCGCCAUCAAAAUGAUGAGUUUAUUUAUUGCAGCUGCUAUAAAUGAUCCGCUACAAGCAGCAUCCGGACAUGAUAAAGCCAACUAGCAGGGACUCCUUCCUUUCUGUUUACAGACGUGACGUAAUGACGCAACGGCGAACGGCUGCAUGCUCGAAUUACCCGCGGAAACCCACCAGUAUCGAUUUAUUAUAAAACAUUAUUACAAGCUUACCGUUGUGAAUCGGGCUAAGGUAAGGAGAUAGUUUUGAACACUGGCUGGUUAUGAGCUUGCUCAAAAAUUGAUUUCGGAUCAUUUUUAAAUAAAAAAAGUUAUGGACUUGUGGGAUUACAAAUUUAAGAAUCUGUUUAAGAUCUGCUGAUCCUACAUCCUGACAUAACCUCACAUGAAAUACUAAGGUGAAGUAUAUUGUAUUUAAUAUUUUGAGGUAAAGAUAAUGACAAUUUAAGGAGAUCAAGGCAGGCAGCCCAGGUGUCUGUAACAUUAACCUUUCAUGCACUUUCUGACCAUUUGGCAGGACAAGCUCAAGAUACAGCGGUGCCUUUGUCUCUAUGAUAAUGUAAAGGUAUGCGCGAUACUAUCAGACUGAGUGGAUUAGCACCUAUGCAUUUGAAUGACACCGUUAUGCUGAUUAGAUCAUGGCUGGGAAAUGUAGGGAAUGGGCUGAUUCCUGCACUGCAUUUGCAUGCUUUGUUUAGAUUGUCUCCACCUCUACUCUAUGUAUCCCUCCCCCUUGAAUGUAUAUGAACUACCAAGUACACUGCCUUAGUUGGACUUGGAUGACUACAGCGACGCACAGCGCGUUUCUCAAUAAAGAGUAACUUCUGCUUGAAAGAUA